UAUUUUCGGGGAAACAUGGUAUACUAAAAUUGGGAUUAUAUACAGAAAGUGACUAUGCUCUCUGCUCAAGGAUGACAUGCAAAUAUGUGGAGCAUUCUGUAUUUUC
RNAcentral lists this small nuclear RNA (106 nucleotides) under Otolemur garnettii (small-eared galago). Lineage: Eukaryota; Metazoa; Chordata; Mammalia; Primates; Galagidae. The record is from RNAcentral.